GUGCACUCAGCUAAUUAGUGGUUAAAGCAAAACUCAUGAAGUUUGGAGUCAUGGGUUCAAUUCCCAUAGUGCACA
This is a transfer RNA of Puccinia triticina 1-1 BBBD Race 1, 75 nucleotides long. It matches the Rfam family "tRNA". From Rfam's summary of the family: Transfer RNA (tRNA) molecules are approximately 80 nucleotides in length. Their secondary structure includes four short double-helical elements and three loops (D, anti-codon, and T loops). Lineage: Eukaryota; Fungi; Basidiomycota; Pucciniomycetes; Pucciniales; Pucciniaceae. The record is from Rfam.